UACGGGGCGCAGCAGGCGCGAAAACUUCGCAAUGCGCGGAAGCGCGACGAGGGGAUUCCAAGUGCAUGCACUCUGUGUAUGCUGUUUACUGGUCUAAAACGCUAGUAGAGUAAGGGCUGGGUAAGACUGGUGCCAGCCGCCGCGGUAAUACCAGCGGCCCUAGUGGUGAUCGUUAUUAUUGGGCCUAAAGCGUCCGUAGCCGGCCCGGUAAAUCUCUGGGUAAAUCGUUGGGCUUAACUCAACGAAUACUGGGGAGACUGCCGGGCUUGGGACCGGGAGAGGUCGGAGGUACUCCAGGGGUAGGGGUGAAAUCCUGUAAUCCUUGGGGGACCACCGGUGGCGAAGGCGUCCGACCAGAACGGGUCCGACGGUAAGGGACGAAGCCCUGGGGCGCGAACCGGAUUAGAUACCCGGGUAGUCCAGGGUGUAAACGCUGUGCGCUUGGUGUUGGGGGUCCUCCGUGGGCACCCAGUGCCGGAGAGAAGUUGUUAAGCGCACCGCCUGGGGAGUACGGUCGCAAGACUGAAACU
This 530-nucleotide ribosomal RNA is filed under the name uncultured archaeon. RNAcentral describes it as "bacterial SSU rRNA". It matches the Rfam family "Archaeal small subunit ribosomal RNA", at positions 324 to 856 of the family's 1478-position model. The record is from RNAcentral.